UAGGGAAUCUUCCGCAAUGGACGCAAGUCUGACGGAGCAACGCCGCGUGAGUGAAGAAGGAUUUCGGUUCGUAAAACUCUGUUGUUAGAGAAGAACAGCGCAUAGAGUAACUGUUAUGCGUGUGACGGUAUCUAACCAGAAAGCCACGGCUAACUACGUGCCAGCAGCCGCGGUAAUACGUAGGUGGCAAGCGUUGUCCGGAUUUAUUGGGCGUAAAGCGAGCGCAGGCGGUCAAUUAAGUCUGAUGUGAAAGCCCCCGGCUCAACCGGGGAGGUACAUUGGAAACUGGUUGACUUGAGUGCGGAAGAGGGGAGUGGAAUUCCAUGUGUAGCGGUGAAAUGCGUAGAUAUAUGGAGGAACACCGGUGGCGAAGGCGACUUUCUGGUCUGUAACUGACGCUGAUGUGCGAAAGCGUGGGAAUCAAACAGG
RNAcentral lists this ribosomal RNA (429 nucleotides) under Bacteroidota bacterium. RNAcentral's name for it is "Bacteroidetes bacterium partial 16S ribosomal RNA". It matches the Rfam family "Bacterial small subunit ribosomal RNA", at positions 355 to 776 of the family's 1533-position model. Lineage: Bacteria; Pseudomonadati; Bacteroidota. The record is from RNAcentral.